GUUUAAGAAACAGGUAAAAAAGCGUUUAAGCAGAUAUAAAGCGUUUAAGAAACAUAUAAAGAAGGUGUUUAAGAAACAGGUAAAAGGUGUUUAAGAAACAUAUCUGUUUCUUAAACAUAUCUUUUUGUUUUCUUUUGUUUUCUUUUAUCUGUCCCGAGGAAGGUUUUUACCGAUUUACUCCUGAGGGCUUGUAGCUCAGUUGGUUAGAGCGCGCGCUUGAUAAGCGUGAGGUCGGAGGUUCAAGUCCUCCCAGGCCCACCAAUUUAUGAUUGCUGAUAAAUUUGCUGAUAAGUUUUUUGUGAAUGUUUUGAUGGUCUUUUAUCUUACGAUCUUUCACUUUUAUGUUGCAAUCUUUCAAAAGUAUUUGAACUGUUUUAGGGGCCGUAGCUCAGCUGGGAGAGCACCUGCUUUGCAAGCAGGGGGUCGUCGGUUCGAUCCCGUCCGGCUCCACCAUCUUUGGUUAUCAUCAUCGUUAAAGAACAAUGUUUUGCAAUAGAUCUGUAGAUCUUAAGUCUAUCAUCUAUUGCCUGUUCUAUUGAAAUUGUGAAGAGAAGAUAUAUUCAGACAUUACUGUUUUAUUCAGCUAUUGUUGUUUUGUUGUUGCUUUUAAUGUUUAAGUCUCUCCUUUAAGGAAUGACAAAAAGCUUAAAAACACAACGCUAAUUUAAAAACACAACGCUAACAUUGUUAAACAAUGUUUAAAGCAAUAUAAUGUGU
RNAcentral lists this transfer RNA (717 nucleotides) under Bartonella sp. RNAcentral describes it as "partial 16S-23S ribosomal RNA intergenic spacer". The stretch from base 185 to 258 matches the Rfam family "tRNA". The record is from RNAcentral. Lineage: Bacteria; Pseudomonadati; Pseudomonadota; Alphaproteobacteria; Hyphomicrobiales; Bartonellaceae.